UAAAAAUUAAUAAAUAUAACUAAGUUAAUGAGCUUGAACAAGCAUAU
RNAcentral lists this transfer RNA (47 nucleotides) under Chironomus duplex. Its description in RNAcentral is "partial tRNA-Ser". The record is from RNAcentral. Lineage: Eukaryota; Metazoa; Arthropoda; Insecta; Diptera; Chironomidae.